Molecule: ribosomal RNA, 428 nt
Filed under: uncultured Bacillota bacterium
Lineage: Bacteria; Bacillati; Bacillota
Description: bacterial SSU rRNA
Rfam family: Bacterial small subunit ribosomal RNA
Source: RNAcentral
AACGCGAAGAACCUUACCAGGUCUUGACAUCCUUUUGCCCUCUCUAGAGAUAGAGACUUCCCUUCGGGGACAAAAGUGACAGGUGGUGCAUGGUUGUCGUCAGCUCGUGUCGUGAGAUGUUGGGUUAAGUCCCGCAACGAGCGCAACCCUUGAUCUUAGUUGCCAGCAUUUAGUUGGGCACUCUAAGGUGACUGCCGGUGACAAACCGGAGGAAGGUGGGGAUGACGUCAAAUCAUCAUGCCCCUUAUGACCUGGGCUACACACGUGCUACAAUGGAUGGUACAAAGAGCUGCAAACCCGCGAGGGUAAGCGAAUCUCAUAAAGCCAUUCUCAGUUCGGAUUGUAGGCUGCAACUCGCCUACAUGAAGCCGGAAUCGCUAGUAAUCGUGGAUCAGCAUGCCACGGUGAAUACGUUCCCGGGCCUUGUA